AGCUAAUCAAGAAUGAAGAAAGUGCAUCUCCAAGCCCACUGAUUGGUUUUAGCUUGUAAAAUUUUAGAUUUUGGUGACUUUGAUUAUGGUUUUUAUCAUGAUUUUGCUUUUAGCUGGUAAAAUUUUAGAUUUUGCUCUGUGUAACUCCAGUUGAUUGGUUCCGCACUUUUCAUUCUGAAACCAGUUCUCUCAUGAUAAUACCCAUAAUUAAACUCCCAUUAAAAGGGUUAUUCGUUACAGUCUUUUUGUAUAGUUAGAUUGUUAUGAAUUAGGUUGAACUAAUUAACCUUUUUUUGUUACUUGAAGUAUGGAAGAACCAGCCAUUGCUGUUGACAACGGACAAGAAGCCGCCCCUCCGUAUCUUUCAUGACAACUUCAGCAGCCCAAGUGUAGGUGUUGACGUUGGUGAUAUUUUUUGAAGGCUGAUGGUGGUUAGAAGUUAUGUAUAUUGUUGUCUUUUUUGCUCUGGUGCAACCUCUCAGACUCGAUAUUAAGCUUGCUUAGAGAUCAGAAAGAAUAAAGUCAGUUGACUUGCAUCCGGCGAAACCAUGGUAAUGAUCCAUUGUUAUUGUUAUUAUAUUCAUUUGUCUUUAUAAUGU
This is a long non-coding RNA of Helianthus annuus (common sunflower), 599 nucleotides long. RefSeq lists it as uncharacterized. Lineage: Eukaryota; Viridiplantae; Streptophyta; Magnoliopsida; Asterales; Asteraceae. The record is from RefSeq and is a predicted model, not a curated record. The transcript has 3 exons.